This 406-nucleotide ribosomal RNA is filed under the name uncultured bacterium. RNAcentral describes it as "partial 16S ribosomal RNA". It matches the Rfam family "Bacterial small subunit ribosomal RNA", at positions 30 to 526 of the family's 1533-position model. The record is from RNAcentral.
AUUGAACGCUGGCGGCAGGCCUAACACAUGCAAGUCGAGCGAGCGGCGGACGGGUGAGUAAUGUAUGGGGAUCUGCCUGAUGGCGGGGGAUAACUACUGGAAACGGUAGCUAAUACCGCAUACCAUCAGAUGAACCCAUAUGGGAUUAGCUUGUAGGUGAGGUAACGGCUCACCUAGGCGACGAUCCCUAGCUGGUCUGAGAGGAUGAUGAGCCACAAUGGGACUGAGACACGGCCCAGACUCCUACGGGAGGCAGCAGUGGGAAAUAUUGCACAAGGGGCGCAAGCCUGACGCAGCAAGGCCGGGGGUAUGAAGAAGGCCUUCGGGUUGUAAAGUACUUUCAGCGGGGAGGCGUUACCCGCAGAAGAAGCACCGGCUAACUCCGUGCCAGCAGCCGCGGUAAUAC